AGACCGAUAGCGAACAAGUAGAGUGAUCGAAAGAUGAAAAGCACUUUGAAAAGAGAGUUAAACAGCACGUGAAAUUGUUGAAAGGGAAGCGCUUGCGACCAGACUCGCCCGCGGGGUUCAGCCGGCAUUCGUGCCGGUGUACUUCCCCGUGGGCGGGCCAGCGUCGGUUUGGGCGGCCGGUCAGCGGCUCCCGGAAUGUAGCGCCUCUCGGGGCGCCUUAUAGCCGGGGGUGCAGUGCGGCCAGCCUGGACCGAGGAACGCGCUUCGGCACGGACGCUGGCAUAAUGGUCGUAAACGACCCGUCUUGAAACACGGACCAAG
Molecule: ribosomal RNA, 321 nt
Filed under: Aspergillus sp. SW094
Lineage: Eukaryota; Fungi; Ascomycota; Eurotiomycetes; Eurotiales; Aspergillaceae
Description: LSU rRNA
Rfam family: Eukaryotic large subunit ribosomal RNA
Source: RNAcentral